AGCUUGCUCCCAGGCGUCGAGCGGCGGACGGGUGAGUAAUACAUAGGAAUCUGCCCAGUAGUGGGGGAUAGCCCGGGGAAACCCGGAUUAAUACCGCAUACGCCCUUUGGGGGAAAGCAGGGGAUCUUCGGACCUUGCGCUAUUGGAUGAGCCUAUGUCGGAUUAGCUAGUUGGUGGGGUAAGAGCCUACCAAGGCGACGAUCCGUAGCUGGUCUGAGAGGAUGAUCAGCCACAUCGGGACUGAGACACGGCCCGAACUCCUACGGGAGGCAGCAGUGGGGAAUAUUGGACAAUGGGGGCAACCCUGAUCCAGCCAUGCCGCGUGUGUGAAGAAGGCUUUCGGGUUGUAAAGCACUUUCAGUGAGGAGGAAAACCUUACGACUAAUACUCGUGAGGCUUGACGUUACUCACAGAAGAAGCACCGGCUAACUCCGUGCCAGCAGCCGCGGUAAUACGGAGGGUGCAAGCGUUAAUCGGAAUUACUGGGCGUAAAGCGCGCGUAGGUGGUUUGAUAAGCGAGAUGUGAAAGCCCCGGGCUCAACCUGGGAACGGCAUUUCGAACUGUCAGG
This 569-nucleotide ribosomal RNA is filed under the name marine sediment bacterium BB0608_AND_2.2_1S0. RNAcentral describes it as "bacterial SSU rRNA". It matches the Rfam family "Bacterial small subunit ribosomal RNA", at positions 72 to 640 of the family's 1533-position model. The record is from RNAcentral.